CCUACGGGAGGCAGCAGUAGGGAAUCUUCCACAAUGGGCGAAAGCCUGAUGGAGCAACGCCGCGUGGGUGAAGAAGGUCUUCGGAUCGUAAAACCCUGUUGUUAGAGAAGAAAGUGCGUGAGAGUAACUGUUCACGUUUCGACGGUAUCUAACCAGAACGCCACGGCUAACUACGUGCCAGCAGCCGCGGUAAUACGUAGGUGGCAAGCGUUUUCCGGAUUUAUUGGGCGUAAAGGGAACGCAGGCGGUCUUUUAAGUCUGAUGUGAAAGCCUUCGGCUUAACCGGAGUAGUGCAUUGGAAACUGGGAGACUGGAGUGCAGAAGAGGAGAGUGGAACUCCAGGUGUAGCGGUGAAAUGCGUAGAUAUAUGGAAGAACACCAGUGGCGAAAGCGGCUCUCUGGUCUGUAACUGACGCUGAGGUUCGAAAGCGUGGGUAGCAAACAGGAUUAGAUACCCGGGUAGUC
Molecule: ribosomal RNA, 465 nt
Filed under: uncultured bacterium
Lineage: Bacteria
Description: partial 16S ribosomal RNA
Rfam family: Bacterial small subunit ribosomal RNA
Source: RNAcentral